Molecule: long non-coding RNA, 1130 nt
Organism: Saccostrea cuccullata (small rock oyster)
Lineage: Eukaryota; Metazoa; Mollusca; Bivalvia; Ostreida; Ostreidae
Exons: 5
Source: RefSeq, a predicted model, not a curated record
ACAGAAUUUCCACGACCUUUCAAUCAGUUUAGCUGAAUCAACAUAAAACUUUUUGUAUAUAAUGCUUGUCCAAUAUUUAUGCUCCAGGAAACUGUUUAACAGGUGGGAGAUGGUUAUCGUCUGGCCACACAAAGCCUAGGGUCACCAGGUGAAAUCAAGAUGUUUUUUGGGAUUUCUUUACAACUGAUCAUUGGAUGUGAUGAAUAGAGGUGACACCUGUUUUUGUUUUGUAAGCAGAUAAGUCUGAAGGGCAUCAAGGAUUGUAUGAAGUAUCUAUAUGCUUGAGGAAAAUCAGUGUCCUGAAACCAUCAACCACAUUAUCCAUCUUAUACAAGACAAUUCCUGUCUAACAGGCAAAGGACCUAGCGGGAAAUAACAGGAAGAUCACUGAUCCUUCAACUGUCCUGAUUUCCUCAAUCAGUUCCUGCACCUGCCUGCACAGCAGGACAUUUUUGUGCCCUAAUGGAGGUGUUGAUUAAUUUGUUUUUGAAGAUAAUGACAUUUCUUUUAAAGACACUAAUGAAAAAGGUCAGUCUAUUUGCUUCAGUGUUUCAUGACAUUUCAGCUACUAGGUCUUUAAUUAAGUGCCUGAUGACAACAGUUCCAUGUGGAGGGGGUUUGGGUUAAAAUUUUUAUUAUGGUUCAUGAUCUCUGAUGCUCACAAAUUCACAAAGAUUAGAUUUCUUAUCAGACAGUUUGUAAACAGCUUUCAAGUGUCAAGAGUGAGUAAAAUUCAGAUCUUUAUGCAUAGUCAUUUGGAGGAUCAUUUUAUCUGCACAUGCAUCUAGAAUUUUGUCCAUUUGCCUAUUAUCAUUUGAUCAGUAUGGUAAAUAGUAUCAGACACCCAAGAGGUUAUAUCUAAUCAAUAUACACUGGAACACACUACCAACAGUGUGUUUGGUUAGCUUUUCUUGCUUCUCAAAUACAGAAUUCGAGGUCAUCCUUUCAUUCCUUUAGAUAGUCUGAGUGUAUACUCCCGAUAUAAAAUCUAGUAAUCAUAUUUAUUACAGAGACCCUUAUCACUGGGGGAUGAGUCAUUUGUUGAGAAUAACAGAAUUCACAUUUUCUAAGAGGUCAGAAAAAGAUGGAGGAAUUAUUGACUAAUUAUAAGAUAUCAUAUGACAGAAAUA